UUUUUCUCUUCUUUACUCACCUAGAACUCACACAAAACGCAGCCUUGGUUCUCCCUCUCCAUCAAUCUCCAUUUUCUCUUCUUCUCUUGCACUCUCCUCAUGGCUUGAACUUGGCUUGGGAAGCUUCAACCGUUGAGGGCUUUUCCUACCAACUAAAACCAUUUGGCUUUUGCUUUGCUUCAAAUCAAGUCCUUCAUCAUUUUUGAGCUUUGGGUAACGAUUUUUGGGUGUUAGGACCUCCAAUCUACCGAUUUUUUUGAGCUUAAAGAUCCAUUGGAGCCUUUGAAGAAAAAGCCUCUUCAGACUUCAGAGACCAGAAAUGUACUGUGAAAAUGGCUAACGCAGCCAACCUUCUUCGUCCAAUUACAUCAAAGGCAAUGUCGUGACCACCAAAAUUUUGCGCUGAGGGCUGAGAUCUACAUGCGGUGGUGCGGAGUUAUAAAUCUGCUACCGCCAAAAAGACCAUUACUACCGAUGUCGCCACCGCUCCAGAAGACCCUUUGGCUUGUCUAGCAUCUCUAACUUCUGAAGAGAAAAGUGACCCAUUUUCUUUUCCCCAUCUUGUAGAGCUACCCAGAACCACUACUUUCCAGGUUUCUUCCACUGGCUUUGUGGGAAUCCAAGACCAACGACGGUGACAACAAUAACAACAAAAUCUACCAUAUCUACAACGACAAGUACUCCAUCGACAAGAGUUUCAAAGGCCUCAAGCCAAUCCUUCCAUGUCCUUACCAACCAUGCAAUCUCAGGCCCCCAGAUCAAGAAAAAGAAAAAUUAAAGAAGAAAAAGAAAAAAGAAGACAAAACAGAAGAAAGGAAGACAAGAAAGAAGAAAGGAAGAAAGAAUCGUACCUGUGUAGGGGAGAAGAGAGAUGAUCUUCUAUGAGGAGAAAAUGGGGGAAAAAUGAAAAUAAAUAGAGGGUGAGUGGGAGUGGAAAAAAAAAUGAGGAAAAAAGGAGGGAAAACAAAAAAUUAGUGGCGUGUCUAUUUGACACUAAUUUGUGACGUGGCAUAUUUAGCACGACACUAAAUUAUUUUGUGACGUUUCAUAAAAUGAAACCUCACUAAUUAGUGGCGUGUCAUAAAAUGAGUUACUGUAGCCACGCCACUAAAUUGCUAAUUUUUUGUAGUGAUUGCGCAACCUUGAGUAAGGAUAAUCCCACAAAGCCGCGGAUCUUGCAAGAAGGUGAGUAUUCUACUCACUGAGGGACCCUAAGAACGUAGAUUUACAUUUUUGGUACUUGGUUAUUUAUGAUUAUGGAAUUUGUUGAUAAAAUUGUUUGUGAUUGAGUUGUGUUAUAUUGGAUUGUAAAUUGUAUGGAUAAAUCGAUGUUGAUGGAUCUUGGUUUUAUGUGAUUAUGGAAUUGUUGAUAAAUAUUAUUUGUGAUUGAGUUGUGAUAUAUUGGAUUGUGAAUUAUAUGGAUAAAUAGAUGUUGAUGAAUCUUGGUUGUAUAUGAUUAUGGAAUUGUUGAUAAA
Molecule: long non-coding RNA, 1475 nt
Organism: Alnus glutinosa
Lineage: Eukaryota; Viridiplantae; Streptophyta; Magnoliopsida; Fagales; Betulaceae
Exons: 3
Source: RefSeq, a predicted model, not a curated record